This 85-nucleotide transfer RNA is filed under the name Longispora sp. (in: high G+C Gram-positive bacteria). RNAcentral's name for it is "tRNA-Leu". It matches the Rfam family "tRNA". Rfam says of the family: Transfer RNA (tRNA) molecules are approximately 80 nucleotides in length. Lineage: Bacteria; Bacillati; Actinomycetota; Actinomycetes; Micromonosporales; Micromonosporaceae. The record is from RNAcentral.
GCGGGAGUGGCGGAAUCUGGUAGACGCGUCAGACUUAGGAUCUGGUGCCCGAAAGGGCGUGGGGGUUCAAGUCCCCCCUCCCGCA